UGACAAAGUAGUGCUGGGCGGUAUGACCAAAAAUUUAUAUCACGGUAUUUUUCAAAAUUAUAUCGAUUUCGUGGUAUUUGACGGUAUUUUUUUUUCAAGCAGGACUGGGUGCUAACCUUAUUUUCUAAUAAUUUAGAGAGUAAUUACUGCAGUAAAUUAGCUUGGAAUAACAUAUUUUACUGUCACGAGGAGUGAAUAUUGUAGAAAAACAUUAAUGUCCAUACUAGUAUUGAUAAAGUGUAGGAAUCAGAAUGCAUGACUACUCCAACUGUGCGCUCACCCAGCGAG
This is a long non-coding RNA of Thalassophryne amazonica, 288 nucleotides long. RefSeq lists it as uncharacterized. Lineage: Eukaryota; Metazoa; Chordata; Actinopteri; Batrachoidiformes; Batrachoididae. The record is from RefSeq and is a predicted model, not a curated record. The transcript is spliced from 3 exons.